CCAUUAGAUCACCGAAGUUAAGCAUCAUUGGGCGCGGUCAGUACUUCAGUGGGUGACCACCUGGGAACACUAUGCCGUUG
Non-coding RNA from Caerostris darwini, 80 nucleotides. The record is from the annotation of a GenBank genome assembly. NCBI's taxonomy places the organism in Eukaryota, Metazoa, Arthropoda, Arachnida, Araneae, Araneidae.